UACGGAGGGUGCUAGCGUUGUUCGGAAUUACUGGGCGUAAAGCGCGCGUAGGCGGCUAUCCAAGUCAGAGGUGAAAGCCCUGGGCUCAACCCAGGAAUUGCCUUUGAAACUGUUUAGCUUGAGUGUCGGAGGGGAUAGCGGAAUUGCUAAUGUAGAGGUGAAAUUCGUAGAUAUUAGCAGGAACACCGGUGGCGAAGGCGGCUAUCUGGACGACAACUGACGCUGAGGCGCGAAAGCACGGGGAGCAAACAGG
RNAcentral lists this ribosomal RNA (253 nucleotides) under uncultured bacterium. RNAcentral's name for it is "partial 16S ribosomal RNA". It matches the Rfam family "Bacterial small subunit ribosomal RNA", at positions 524 to 776 of the family's 1533-position model. The record is from RNAcentral.